Molecule: non-coding RNA, 30 nt
Filed under: Homo sapiens (human)
Lineage: Eukaryota; Metazoa; Chordata; Mammalia; Primates; Hominidae
Source: RNAcentral
UGCCCAAAGCUUUUAGAAUCACACAGCAGU